This 291-nucleotide ribosomal RNA is filed under the name uncultured archaeon. Its description in RNAcentral is "partial 16S ribosomal RNA". It matches the Rfam family "Archaeal small subunit ribosomal RNA", at positions 1059 to 1343 of the family's 1478-position model. The record is from RNAcentral.
GAAAAUUUGCUUCACUGCUCUCAGGAGCAGUGGGGCUAAUUAGAGGGACCGCCGCCGCUGAGGCGGAGGAAGGAGGGGGCUACGGCAGGUCAGUAUGCCCCGAAACCCUCGGGCCACACGCGGGCUGCAAUGGUAAGGACAGCGGGCUCCGAUCCCGAAAGGGGGAGGCAAUCCCUCAAACCUUACCUCAGUUAUGAUUGAGGGCUGAAACUCGCCCUCAUGAAUAUGGAAUCCCUAGUAACCGCGUGUCACCAUCGCGCGGUGAAUACUUCCCUGCUCCUUGCACAAAAA